This 761-nucleotide ribosomal RNA is filed under the name Prevotella melaninogenica. Its description in RNAcentral is "bacterial SSU rRNA". It matches the Rfam family "Bacterial small subunit ribosomal RNA", at positions 28 to 776 of the family's 1533-position model. The record is from RNAcentral. Lineage: Bacteria; Pseudomonadati; Bacteroidota; Bacteroidia; Bacteroidales; Prevotellaceae.
GAUGAACGCUAGCUACAGGCUUAACACAUGCAAGUCGAGGGGGAACGGCAUUAAGUGCUUGCACUUUUUGGACGUCGACCGGCGCACGGGUGAGUAACGCGUAUCCAACCUUCCCAUGACUAAGGGAUAACCUGCCGAAAGGCAGACUAAUACCUUAUGGUCUUCACUGACGGCAUCAGAUGUGAAGUAAAGAUUUAUCGGUUAUGGAUGGGGAUGCGUCUGAUUAGCUUGUUGGCGGGGUAACGGCCCACCAAGGCAACGAUCAGUAGGGGUUCUGAGAGGAAGGUCCCCCACAUUGGAACUGAGACACGGUCCAAACUCCUACGGGAGGCAGCAGUGAGGAAUAUUGGUCAAUGGGCGAGAGCCUGAACCAGCCAAGUAGCGUGCAGGAUGACGGCCCUAUGGGUUGUAAACUGCUUUUGUAUGGGGAUAAAGUCAAUCACGUGUGAUUGUUUGCAGGUACCAUACGAAUAAGGACCGGCUAAUUCCGUGCCAGCAGCCGCGGUAAUACGGAAGGUCCGGGCGUUAUCCGGAUUUAUUGGGUUUAAAGGGAGCGUAGGCUGGAGAUUAAGUGUGUUGUGAAAUGUAGGCGCUCAACGUCUGACUUGCAGCGCAUACUGGUUUCCUUGAGUACGCACAACGUUGGCGGAAUUCGUCGUGUAGCGGUGAAAUGCUUAGAUAUGACGAAGAACUCCGAUUGCGAAGGCAGCUGACGGGAGCGCAACUGACGCUGAAGCUCGAAGGUGCGGGUAUCGAACAGG